GAAUUACUAGACAUAACACGCUCGCUUCGCUCGCCUUCAUUCUUUCAAAAUUCCCGCCAUUAUCUCAGUCGACCAAUCAACAACCGAAUAAAAUAGUCACAGAAGUGACGUAAAACGACACAACAUCCGGCCAUCAACUUUUUAGAAGAGGAUUAAUGUUAGUUUUGUGUGGUGAGUGACAAGUGCAAUUUAAAAAUGAAGCGAGGUCCAUAUAAAUUAUACUUGAGUUCGGACGGUAACGGCAUUAUGCCUCGGUCAACAUUUUAUGAUAAAUUGAAAAAAUAUCGUCUUGAUGCUGUAAAUGAAAACGAACAUAAUCUGGAAUCUCAAAAGUUUCGGAUGAUGACAGUCAAUUACUUAUGGAAGCUGAGAAUGACAAUUUAAUAUCUCCAGCCUAUCAGAGAAGUCAAAACCUGAUGAAUAUGGAACAAAAUAUAUUUUUUCUGACAGUGAAGACGACGAAGAUAUUGAAGAACGAGAGCAAUGGUUUGACGCUGAAGAUUUACCUCAAGUAGGAAAUGGAUGUUCAGAUGAGAAAGACAGUGAUACUUUUUCCAACCGUCAUGAAACUGAUGAUUGUUAUAAUCAACCACUCUGUCAAUGUACAUCAGUUACUCGUGGAGAAGCAUUGAUGAUGACACUCUCGCUUGGUGCUCAGGAGUCCUUAACGUGGAAAACUAUAACUAGUAUUUUAUCAAUGAUUAAUACAUUAUUUGGAGGUAAUGUGGUUCCAGCAUCCAAAUAUAAAUUAUUUAAAACCUUAGAAUUGAAGAACAGUAGCUUCUCACGACACAUGUAUUGUAAUGAGUGUUUCUUCUACUUUGGAGUUCAGUCUACUUCUAGCGCUGACGAUUUUGUUUGUCCGAAUUGCGAUAAAAAUUUCAAUCCAUCAAAUGUACCUUUUUUCUAACGCUGGAUUUUGCUAAUCAAUUAAAACAUAUUUUUGAAAAUUCAGAAAUUCAAGAAGCGUUAUUAAAACGCAUCGAAUGUGAAGAUAAUGAAGAAGGAAAUGAGUUGAAAGAUAUAAACGAUGGAAAAGUUUAUAAGAAAUUAUUGAGUUCUGAAUCGGAAAAUCUUCUGUGUAAUAAAUUUAAUUUUUCUUACACUUUCAACACGGACGGCUGCCAAUUAGCAAAGUCGAGUAAGCUUUCAAUUUGGCCAAUUUAUAUAACUAUCAAUGAAUUGCCGCCAAAAUUAAGAUCAAAAAUCUCAUUAUGACUGGUAUUUGGGUAGAUAAAGUAGAGCCAGACAUGAAUCUAUUUUUGAAACCGUUUGUUGACGAAGCAAAUGAUCUAUCUAAGACUGGUUUGCAGUGGAAAUUGGGAGAGCAAACUAUUACAAGUAAAUUUAUCCCAUUGUGUGCAUGUUUUGAUUCAGUUGCGCGGUGUAAAGUAUUGAAUAUGAAACAAUACAAUGGCAAAUAUGGAUGCACGUUUUGUGAGCAUCCUACAGAAAGCGUCAAUGGCUAUCGGAAAUUCCCAAUAUCAGUGGAUGUACCAGUAGAUAGAACUGAUGAGUCUAUAAAAAUCAAAUGGUAUUAGCAAGUACAAAUAAAUAUGAAGAAGAUGUUAAAGGUGUGUGGGGUCCAUCGCAAUUAAUGAACCUGAAUUACUUCGACUUAGUUGACGGAAUGUCUCCUGAUUAUUUACAUUCAAUUUUACUUGGAACGAUUAAGCAACAUACAGAAUUAUUGUUUUCUUCGUUCGGGAAAGAAUAUUACAUAGGAAAUCCUAAUCAUGUGGAAAUAAUUAAUGAAAUACUAUUGAAAUUUAAACAUCCGUCAUCAAUAACACGUUCGCCUCGAGACAUCAAUGAGAGAAAUAUGUGGAAAGCUACUGAGUGGCGUUCGUGGUUGCUUUUCUAUUCAUUACCAUGUUUAAAUCAAAUACUUCCACAGAAGUACUUAGAUCACUUAGCGUUACUAGUAGAGGCUGUGACAAUCCUGUUAGAGGAAAAAUAACAAGUGAAAUGCUGGAAAUUGCAAAUGAACUUCUCAUCCGAUAUGUUUGUUACUAUCAAGAGUAUUUUGGAAAAGAACAUAUGACAUACAACAUACAUUUACUUUUACACAUGGUAAAAAGUGUUAUGAACUUAGGUCCUUUAUCGGCACACAAUACUUUUUGUUUUGAAAAUGAAAAUCACUUCGUUCUGAAAAUGAAAAAGUCCGACUCAUGUAGGUCUGCAAAUUACGAGAAAGUAUUUCUUCCACAAGUCACUUCCUCUUCUGAAGCAACGUUUUAAACUUAGUGAGGCAUUUGAAAAAUUUUGCGAGAGAAAUCUAUCAGGUCGACUAAAAAAUACAUUGACAGUUGGUGAUUGCGUUUUAGUUGGAAAGGGUAGUAAAUACAAUUUAAGUGUGGUAGAAAAGCAAGCAAUUGAUUUUACUUCAGAUGAAUGUAUUUCUUACAACAGAUUAAUUUAUAAUAGAAACCGUUAUACCUCAGAGAGCUAUCGAAUAUGUCAAAAAAUUAACGAUACAAUAAUUAUGUUGAAAAAUGGUAAUAACGGAGUGAUUACAAAUAUUUGUUGCUUUAAUAACGUGAACGGAAAAGAAGAAAUAAUUAUAUUUUAUCGAGAAAUCAAACACACCGGAAAGUUUUUUUCACUCUACUCAAAACGUAACUGUCCAUAACAUUUAUGAGUGCCAUAUAACUGAUAUUAUACGUGUAUGCAAACCAAAUUCAAUAAUACGACCAGCAAUAUUACAGAAGAUUGGGGAAUCAAAUUAUUUAAUAAAUAUACCGAAAGGGUGUGAUGGUGAUUAAAUAAUGUAUCUAAUAUCUAAAACUUUUUCAGUAGUAAAAAGAAUUGCUGCAAUGAAAAAAUACUGUAAAAAGAAAAGUACUAAUGAGAAUACUCAAAUAUUAUGAGUAUCCAUGAAAAAACGGACUAAUUAAUUAAUAAAAGUGUGAAAUUACAGAUAAGAAUAUACGUUUCAAUUACAAAAAUAUCAAGAAAUUAUAUUCUCUGAUAAAAAUUAUACUUCAACUCAAUUCGAAAACUUUCUGUUGUAAAAGGUUUAA
This 3023-nucleotide long non-coding RNA is filed under the name Cotesia glomerata. Its description in RNAcentral is "uncharacterized LOC123265554". The record is from RNAcentral. Lineage: Eukaryota; Metazoa; Arthropoda; Insecta; Hymenoptera; Braconidae.